RNAcentral lists this non-coding RNA (946 nucleotides) under Elassoma zonatum (banded pygmy sunfish). RNAcentral describes it as "12S ribosomal RNA". It matches the Rfam family "Bacterial small subunit ribosomal RNA". The record is from RNAcentral. Lineage: Eukaryota; Metazoa; Chordata; Actinopteri; Centrarchiformes; Elassomatidae.
UAAAAGCUUGGUCCUGACUUUACUAUCAACUCUAGCUAAAAUUACACAUGCAAGUAUCCGCACUCCCGUGAGAAUGCCCUACAGUUCUCUUAAGAGAACAAGGAGCUGGUAUCAGGCUCAAACCUUAGCCCACGACACCUUGCUUAGCCACACCCCCAAGGGAAUUCAGCAGUGAUAAAUAUUAAGCCAUAAGUGAAAACUUGACUUAGUUAAAGCUAAUAGGGCCGGUUAAACUCGUGCCAGCUACCGCGGUUAUACGAGGGGCCCAAGUUGUGAGACAUCGGCGUAAAGGGUGGUUAAGGAAGAUCAAAACUAAAGCCGAAUACUGUCAAGGCUGUUAUACGCACCCGACAGUAAGAAGAUCAAUCACGAAAGUGGCUUUAUGCCCCCUGAACCCACGAAAGCUAGGAUACAAACUGGGAUUAGAUACCCCACUAUGCUUAGCCCUAAACAUUGAUGGGGCACUACUUUCCCCAUCCGCCCGGGAACUACGAGCAUAAGCUUAAAACCCAAAGGACUUGGCGGUGCUUUAGAUCCACCUAGAGGAGCCUGUUCUAGAACCGAUAACCCCCGUUAAACCUCACCCUUCCUGGCCUUUUUCCGCCUAUAUACCACCGUCGUCAGUUUACCCUAUGAGGGAUUAAUAGUAAGCAAGAUUGGCACCAGCCUAAAACGUUAGGUCGAGGUGUAGUGCAUGGAAGGGGAAGAAAUGGGCUACAUUCGCUGACUCAGCGAAAACGAACGACAAAAUGAAAUGUUUGUCUAAAGGAGGAUUUAGAAGUAAGUAGAAAAUAGAGUGUUUUACUGAAACUGGCCCUAAAGCACGCACACACCGCCCGUCACUCUCCCCAAAAACCCUAACUUAUAUACCUAAAACGUAAAAUUAAACAAGGGGAGGCAAGUCGUAACAUGGUAAGUGUACCGGAAGGUGCACUUGGAAAACAAU